UGUCACUUCAUGUAGAGCCAACACGGAAGCGGUAGUAUUUUGAAUUUUUCUCUGGACUUGUCAUGAUGAUAGGCAGUUAUAAACAUACUCCUUGGAAGUAUUUUAGCAGUACUGUAUUCACUAUCAAGUGGAUUCUCAAGUCUCAGUAACUACUGUAAGUGAAAAAUCAGUCAACUCAAUCAUUGUAGGAAGAAAGCAUAUUAAUGUUUGUUUGAAGACGUAUCUACGUUAAGGAACAGAAAAUUACCUGACUUACUAAAGCAAGAGUGAACUCCGAAAAAUGUUAGUACAAGUCACAGUGAUUCAAUAUUUCAAAAUAGAUUUGUUCAACGGCAUAAUUCAUACUAAUUAGCUUGGUCCCAUCGGACAAGAAAAGGCAUGGUUAUGGGCCGUUGCUGCUGCAAUAUCACAAAGAAUGCUGGUUUAUGCACACCUGUAACACAAAUGGUUCUUGAAUAUUGUUUUAUAUAAUAAACUCUUGUAUUAUGACAACAUUACGAAAAAAAUGCUUAUUUAAACCGGACUGUAAAGCAGCCUUGAAUUUGAAGUACAGUAUGUUUAGCAGUAAGACAUUAGCAAAACUAUUAUAAAUGAAAGGGUAUGCUAGUAAA
RNAcentral lists this long non-coding RNA (611 nucleotides) under Anneissia japonica. Its description in RNAcentral is "uncharacterized LOC117100168". The record is from RNAcentral. Lineage: Eukaryota; Metazoa; Echinodermata; Crinoidea; Comatulida; Comatulidae.